AGGAACUUAGGAUUAAAUUAAACCAGUGACCUUCAAAGCCACUAAAAAGAGAUAACCUCUUAGUCCCU
This 68-nucleotide transfer RNA is filed under the name Brookesia minima (minute leaf chameleon). RNAcentral describes it as "partial tRNA-Trp". Lineage: Eukaryota; Metazoa; Chordata; Lepidosauria; Squamata; Chamaeleonidae. The record is from RNAcentral.